UAGAAAGUUGCAAAGCCACAGCCAGAAGUGAGAAUUCAUGAAAUGCUCAGUUAAUAGCAGGCAGGAAGGGAAAACUGGCCCUAGCUGUGUUUGGCUUUGAAAACCUUGGGGGAAAUAGGACAGGAAAGGAGCGAGUGGAAAGGCGAGGAGAGACAAAGGUGGGGAAGGUGUAAGUGGGGGAAACGAGGGUUGCGGCAGAGGGAAGGAGACCGAUAAGGAGAACAGAACCAGAUGGUGAAACAAGAGGAGCAGAGCUAGGAGAAGACGAGAAGAAAGAAAAACAGUGAGGAAGAAAGAAAAUAGUCAUCAAGAAAAGGGAGGAAGAGAAGAUCCUCACAUCAGAAGGCAAGGGCAGCCUGAGCUAAACAGCUGGCUGGAUUUGCAUGAAAAUGGACUGCCCUUUUUCAUUUGUUUGUUCUUUGGAAAUUACAGUAGGAAAGCCACACAGGGAAUUGCUCCCACUUUGCUCAGCUCCCAGAGGAUCUGAAGGCACUGUUGUAAGAUUGCACUUGCUAAGGACUCGCCAGGAGUAUUUCUAAUCUAUAAUUCAAGCCUCUAUCUGAAAGUCAGCGGGACUGAGAGAUUAAAAACCGAAAUGUAUUAUCUUUGCACAUCCUCAAAACCUGUCGAGAAAGGAGGAGAAAUUAAACAAGGACAAAAACUCGCACUGAAGUGAAGCUGUUUCCUUUGAGCUGCCUUAUUAACCAGUCAAGUACUUGACUGCCACUGUCAGCGAGAUUUCUUUAGAGAAAGAGUGGCAUUUUGAAAAAUACAAAUUCACCGCCUGCACAAGUUAAUGAGGCCCUUCAGCAAUGUUCAUUGAUAGUGUAAAUUCAUCAUAAUACAGUGCUACAAACCAUAAAUGGGAUAUGCAUACAGGAAAUCAUCCACUAUUAGAAAUUUGCCAGACACGAAAAGAAAAAGAAGCCAUUGAUAAGCAGAAAACUCAUCUCAACUGCUCCGUGCUGAUGGGUGUGCAGCACAUUAGUAAUGCCAGAUAGUGCCACGAUGAGAACUUAUUAAGGUGAAUUGAGGUAGCUCGUCAAGUGUAUUUGGUCGCCUUUGUUCGCAUUUUAUGGACUCUCUCAGCUGCCUCCCUUGCAUUUGCCAGUGUUGGGUUAGAAAAAGCUUGCUGUGCAAGGACUACCAUCAACGUAAAGGGACAAAUGUCUCCAAAUACUUCCCUUUUCUGUGCACACACAGACGUGCUUAUGCGUUUAAUCGAUUUUCAGUUGCAUUUGCAAACGAUAGCUUUACAGACACCAAAUUAUCUUAAGGGCUAUAUAGUACACCAGGAGUGGACAGUAGUAAAACUUGGCAACACCCCAGAAAAAAUAUAUUAAGGUGACUUCUGAUCUUUUAAAUAAUAACCGAGCAGUGCUAUUUUGCUGUCCGUAUCAAUCAAUAAAUCUCUCUACAGUGCAAUACAUUCGGUACUCCUACCCUUCUUGAAUAGUAUCAGUUUAAAAAUCUCUGCGACCAUUAGGCCAAUACUUUAGUGUGAUUUGUCUGUUGGCCCAUUUCCAUCAUCUUGCUUCAGGGAACGAAUAAAAAAAGGAAUACCUUGCAUCGGGUCAUAAAGUGGUCAGCUUCUUGAUGAGAAGAAGUGUACAGACUUGUUAAAAUCUCGAAGACCGUGGCCCCUGAUGUGCGGGACACCACCAAAUUACAUGAAUGAGCUCUAUGAAAUAAAGCAGACUGGUAUGAAAAGGCUUUGAAACAUCUGCAUUCAUCUCCCGUGGUCUUGAUUCCAAAUGUAUGGAGAUCUGAGGAAAGACUACAUUGGGUUAGCCUCUGAAAAGUGUCUGGAAAAGAGAGUCACUACCCCAACUCCCUACCGCCCCGACUCCCCCCUGUUGAAUGAAUCUGCUUGUUGCGGAGCCGCAGAUGACUGGGGAUCAACAAAGGAACAUCAACAGAGGAACUUGAGAAGAUGCAAAUUCUGGUAUCCCUCUUCCCACACUGUCUUUGGUUUCACACACGAAGACAAGAUCAAGGGCACGGACUCCGGUCUUCUCUCCCAGGGGAUCUGCUUUCCCUGUAGCCUUCCCACAGGGGUCAGUUCAGAACUCACUCCAAUCCAUGGAAACGCCGAAGACCAAGUCCCCUUCUCCCAGUGUCACCUGUUUCACUCGGCUGACGUGUUUGUGUCAUCAGCUGUACAAGGCAUUGGGCAGAGUAGCAGAAGCCUAAGCAAACGCGUCUUUUGUUUGUAAACAGGAAUAAUGAUGUUGACUGGAAGGCCUUGAACCGAAGCAACAGCCCUGGUCUAGGGUUUUGGCUGGUGCAAUUUCAUUGACUUCAGUAAAAGGACAAGCUGCUGUGAGACCUCUGCGUACUUCAGUCUCUAAGUCCUCAGCUUCCAAAACAGCAAGCAAUAUGAUUUUUAAACCUACUUAUGCCAUUUUAUAAACAUUAUUUAUCUUUUUUCUCUUCCCGCUAUAUUAAUUAUACAGCGUUAGAUCUCUUGAAACAUAAAUACCCCAAAUGCCAAAAUUAGAGCACCGUAGUGAGAAUGUUGUAAGAGUGCUUUUCUGGAAAAGAAAGAAUAGAUUUUCGCAAGUGAUUGUUGACCUUCUAGAAACUCUGUUCUGGUACUUUUCAGCAUGCUUUGAUGUGCAGCAAACGCUUUGCUAUUUGACCACCUCCUGGUAGGGUUUCCAUCCUCAGCGCUCGCUGGAGCAGGAGACCUGAUACACCAGAGCUGCAUACUCCAGUACAUCACUUUAAACCAAGCCUUUACCAUCUGUUUCAACCUCUAAUUACAAAUGCAAAAUAACACAAUUCACAAUUGCAUCAUAAAAAAGUAAAAUAUAAGUGAUUUAAAUGCAUGUGUGUGUUCCUUAUGCAAGGCAAGAUUCAUCUGUUAUGUUUUACCGUCUUUUAGAAACAACUCCGGGGUGAAAUCCCUCUUUGUGGAGGGAAGAAAAAUGAUUUCA
This is a long non-coding RNA of Harpia harpyja (harpy eagle), 2939 nucleotides long. RefSeq lists it as uncharacterized. Lineage: Eukaryota; Metazoa; Chordata; Aves; Accipitriformes; Accipitridae. The transcript is spliced from 5 exons. The record is from RefSeq and is a predicted model, not a curated record.